This 1021-nucleotide ribosomal RNA is filed under the name Beauveria brongniartii. RNAcentral's name for it is "SSU rRNA". It matches the Rfam family "Eukaryotic small subunit ribosomal RNA", at positions 82 to 1117 of the family's 1831-position model. The record is from RNAcentral. Lineage: Eukaryota; Fungi; Ascomycota; Sordariomycetes; Hypocreales; Cordycipitaceae.
CGAAACUGCGAAUGGCUCAUUAUAUAAGUUAUCGUUUAUUUGAUAGUACCUUACUACUUGGAUAACCGUGGUAAUUCUAGAGCUAAUACAUGCUGAAAAUCCUGACUUCGGAAGGGAUGUAUUUAUUAGAUUAAAAACCAAUGCCCUCUGGGCUCCUUGGUGAUUCAUAAUAACUUUUCGAAUCGCACGGCCUUGCGCCGGCGAUGGUUCAUUCAAAUUUCUUCCCUAUCAACUUUCGAUGUUUGGGUAUUGGCCAAACAUGGUCGCAACGGGUAACGGAGGGUUAGGGCUCGACCCCGGAGAAGGAGCCUGAGAAACGGCUACUACAUCCAAGGAAGGCAGCAGGCGCGCAAAUUACCCAAUCCCGAUUCGGGGAGGUAGUGACAAUAAAUACUGAUACAGGGCUCUUUUGGGUCUUGUAAUUGGAAUGAGUACAAUUUAAAUCUCUUAACGAGGAACAAUUGGAGGGCAAGUCUGGUGCCAGCAGCCGCGGUAAUUCCAGCUCCAAUAGCGUAUAUUAAAGUUGUUGUGGUUAAAAAGCUCGUAGUUGAACCUUGGGCCUGGCUGGCCGGUCCGCCUCACCGCGUGUACUGGUCCGGCCGGGCCUUUCCCUCUGUGGAACCUCAUGCCCUUCACUGGGUGUGGCGGGGAAACAGGACUUUUACUUUGAAAAAAUUAGAGUGCUCCAGGCAGGCCUAUGCUCGAAUACAUUAGCAUGGAAUAAUAAAAUAGGACGUGUGGUUCUAUUUUGUUGGUUUCUAGGACCGCCUAAUGAUUAAUAGGGACAGUCGGGGGCAUCAGUAUUCAAUUGUCAGAGGUGAAAUUCUUAGAUUUAUUGAAGACUAACUACUGCGAAAGCAUUUGCCAAGGAUGUUUUCAUUAAUCAGGAACGAAAGUUAGGGGAUCGAAGACGAUCAGAUACCGUCGUAGUCUUAACCAUAAACUAUGCCGACUAGGGAUCGGACGAUGUUAUUUUUUGACGCGUUCGGCACCUUACGAGAAAUCAAAGUGCUGGCUCCGG